RNAcentral lists this ribosomal RNA (482 nucleotides) under uncultured bacterium. Its description in RNAcentral is "partial 16S ribosomal RNA". It matches the Rfam family "Bacterial small subunit ribosomal RNA", at positions 29 to 507 of the family's 1533-position model. The record is from RNAcentral.
AUUGAACGCUGGCGGCAUGCUUUACACAUGCAAGUCGAACGGUAACAGGCCGCAAGGUGCUGACGAGUGGCGAACGGGUGAGUAAUGCAUCGGAACGUGCCCAGUCGUGGGGGAUAACUACUCGAAAGAGUAGCUAAUACCGCAUACGAUCUAUGGAUGAAAGCGGGGGACCGUAAGGCCUCGCGCGAUUGGAGCGGCCGAUGUCAGAGUAGGUAGUUGGUGGGGUAAAGGCUCACCAAGCCAACGAUCUGUAGCUGGUCUGAGAGGAGGACCAGCCACACUGGGACGGAGACACGGCCCAGACUCCUACGGGAGGCAGCAGUGGGGAAUUUUGGACAAUGGGCGCAAGCCUGAUCCAGCAAUGCCGCGUGCAGGAGGAAGGCCUUCGGGUUGUAAACUGCUUUUGUACGGAACGAAACGGCUCUGGUUAAUACCCGGGGCUAAUGACGGUACCGGAAGAAUAAGCACCGGCUAACUACGUG